UUGCCAAAAAAAUAAUUUUUUCCAUUGCCAAUCCAUCACAAAAAAAAUAAUUUUUUCUGCUCCUCUCUCUCUCUCUCUCUCUCUGGCGAUUCAAGAACACGAUUUCACAAGAUCUAUGAAGUUUGAACAGAUCGAUGAAGAUUCGGACCUCCCAGAUUCGAUUUCCGGCUUUUAUUGGCGUUUUGCAACAUUCGUCAAAGGUCAUGGUUUAAAGACUAGGUAACGGUUUGAGAAGAGUUCAAGAUCGAGCUAUUGUUUUGUAGUAUGAAGGGGAGAAAGUGAGGAGAAAGUUGUGGUUGUCAAAGGCGAAGUAGAAGAAUAUAAAGAGAAUGUGAGGGCGGUUGUCAAAGGAGGUGGUAUAGUGUUUUGUAGAAAUUAGGCUGCUGGUUUUGGUUUUCAGUUAGAAGCGGUUGAUUAGUAUAGACAUGUUGAGAAGAUACUAUCUGGAGAUGGAUCUGGAAGGUUGCAGGAUCGAGUGAAGGAAACGCUAAAGGAGUUUAUGUGGGCUACACAGAUGAUACUUUUGUGCCCGGCCAAGAAUUUCAGGUGCUCCUACUAACAACAAAGUCACUGCGGUCCUUGAAAAGGCAAGCUCAACCCGCCAGGUUUCUCACCUCUCCUUUGCACUAGAGUAAUGGGUCAAAAGAGGCUUAGGUUUAAAUGGGUCAUCUUUUUUUAGUAUGGGAUGGAUUUUUUGUUCAUCUUUUAUUGUAAAGAUUAUUACGUAGAUUACAAUUACAAAUGACAUUGAAUUUUACCUUCUCUAAGUUCGCGUUUGAAAAGAGUUUCAGUAUUGUUAUACGAAACUUCAGUAUUUUUAAGGCACCUGAUUGCAGUUAGGACAGAGUCGUGGCAGAGAAGAUAGGUUUUAUAAUCCGGAAAAAGCGAGAAGAAACCAUCAAAAUCAGGAUCAACUCCGAUGAGCACAAAGUGAUGCCACUCCAAACCAAAAUCUAUGACGUUGCCAGGCCCUGGGGAGGCUGAGAACCGAGUUGUGAAGUCAUUUAAAGAGGCAUUAGCAAAACACAAAUUGGAUCGACGCACUUUAGGUCUUUCAAAAUGUCUGAAGGAGAAAGAAUUGGUGGCACUUGCGGCCAACCAGGACCUUUCUUUUGUGUAUAAUUUAAAACCCAAGCACCACCAAAGAAGACUAUGAAUUGUAUAGGUCAUGGACAUGCUCGGACCAAGUCUUGGGAUGUUUGGAGUUCAUUAGGCCAAUCGCAAGAAGAAGAAAAUUUUGAUGCCAUUGUUGUGCAUAAUAUUUUCUUUUGGUUAAUUAUUUUCUUUUGUAGGAUGACACCAAACUAGGGCUGACAUAACGGGUCAACCCGAUCUGUUAAGACACAAUAAGACACGAACCCGAAACACGUAAACACGAACACGACACGAAGUCUUAUCGUGUCAGAUUUUCGAAACACGAACACCAACCUGUUAAUAAACAGGUUACACGAAACGACCUGUUAAGACACGAAAAAUUACCAACGUGUCAUACGACCUGUUUAAGACACGAACACGACCUGUUACGACACGGUUUAAGACACGAACAUGACCUGUUAAGACACGAACACAACCAAAUUAGGGAAGCUGUGAACCGAAUUGUGAAUGGUGUGUUUGUGAGAGUGAUUUGAAAAUUAGGGUUUGGAUUGUAGAAAAAGAACCGCGUGUGUUUGUGUAUAAUUCAUCCAAGGUCCCAUGACUAAUGACCCCAUGUCUACACCCACAUAUAAUAGUUUAUUAAUUUUUAAUUAUUAACAUGUACUUAACGGGUUUUAACAGGUUAACAACUUUUAACCUGUUUAGAUGCGAAACCUGUUAAGGUCUUAUCGUGUCGACCUGUUUUAGACACGAAACCUGUUAAGGUCAAACACGAAACAUGAUAACUUCGUGUAGGUUCGUGUCGUGUUAUCGUGUUCGUGUCAGAAUUGCCAGCCCUACACCAAACUCGAUAGGUUGUGCAUCAAAAGCUUCGUUGUGGUUUUAGUUUUUGGAUAUAAAGUAUCGGGCUUAGAUUUGCCACUGGUGGUGGUGAUCACCAUCACAUCCAAACCCUCCCACCCACAGUGUGAGAGAGGGAGAAAGAGCGAGAUGCUAGAGAGAGGCAGAGAAUCGAUGGGUUCUGGUCACCUGAGGUUGCGGUCCACGCCGUUUACGAGUUCAACAGAUCCAUUAGUUCUGAGGUUUUGCGUUUCAAAAAGAGAGACGCAAUAUUAUAUCCGCUGGCGAUACAUCCAAGUUCAUUUCAUCUAAAGAAGCCGACAUAGCGAUUCUUGAAGAACCCGAACAUUUAAAUUGGUAUCAUCAUGGUAACCGUUGGAAUAAUAAGUUCAAUCAUGCCGUCGGUAUUGUUCAGAUGAAUUACUUAGAGUAUAUAAAGUGGGGAAAAAUGGCGCCCUCCAAGAGUUUUUCGUAAAGCAUAUAAACAAUUUGGUCACACAAGCAUAUUGUGACAAGGCACUAAGUUAAUUCUUAAACAAUUUACUUAUAAAUUUAUAAUGAAAAUAUUUGUUGUUGUAUUUAUAAUGAGAGUAUUUGAUUU
This 2536-nucleotide long non-coding RNA is filed under the name Helianthus annuus (common sunflower). Its description in RNAcentral is "hypothetical non coding rna". The record is from RNAcentral. Lineage: Eukaryota; Viridiplantae; Streptophyta; Magnoliopsida; Asterales; Asteraceae.